This is a long non-coding RNA of Populus euphratica (Euphrates poplar), 518 nucleotides long. RefSeq lists it as uncharacterized. The record is from RefSeq and is a predicted model, not a curated record. The transcript has 2 exons. NCBI's taxonomy places the organism in Eukaryota, Viridiplantae, Streptophyta, Magnoliopsida, Malpighiales, Salicaceae.
CCCCUUAUCAGUUUACUUACUGUUAAAGAGUCAAGAACACCUCCCUUCUUGUAUUAAAAAAAAUAGGACUAGGAAAAAUGGAUGCAGGGAUGCAAGUAGCACUUCCCAUACUAGGAGUUGUAGCUGCUGCUGCUGCUACUUUCUAUGUUGUAAGCUUUUCUGAGCUUAGAGAGAAAUCAUUUAGAGAUUUGGAAGAGUCUGAGGGUGGAGGGUUUGAGUCAUCUCUAAGCUCAAGAAAAAGGAGAGCAAGAAGAAAGGCUGAAAAAGAAGCCAAGAAGUGAGAGGACAAAGAAAGUCUGCAUAUGAAUGAUCUUCUGCUCACUUGCUUUUUGUUAAACAUUCUCAUGGAAGUUGAGACUUGAUUUUCAUAUAUAUAUAUAUAUAUAUAUAUAUAUAUAUAUAUAUCUUGGUAAUUAGAUCAGAAACUUGGUUUUGAAUAGUUGUUGUAAUUGAAAUACCAUCAUAAUCUUAGAACAAAUCCAACACUUUCAAUAUCUUAAUUAGCUCCUAUUUUAUCU